This 77-nucleotide transfer RNA is filed under the name Desulforamulus ferrireducens. RNAcentral's name for it is "Desulfotomaculum ferrireducens tRNA-Pro". It matches the Rfam family "tRNA". Rfam says of the family: Transfer RNA (tRNA) molecules are approximately 80 nucleotides in length. Lineage: Bacteria; Bacillati; Bacillota; Clostridia; Eubacteriales; Peptococcaceae. The record is from RNAcentral.
CGGGGCGUAGCGCAGUUUGGUAGCGCGCUGCGUUCGGGACGCAGAGGCCGCAGGUUCAAAUCCUGUCGCCCCGACCA